AAUUGCUAAAUGGUAAAUAUCUAGUGCAAGUCUACAGGUGAAUUUCUUUUUAGAUUGCACUAGUUAAUUAUCAUCAUACAAUUU
Molecule: microRNA precursor, 84 nt
Filed under: Schmidtea mediterranea
Lineage: Eukaryota; Metazoa; Platyhelminthes; Tricladida; Dugesiidae
Description: microRNA sme-mir-92 precursor
Gene: sme-mir-92
Source: miRBase by way of RNAcentral